Molecule: ribosomal RNA, 261 nt
Filed under: Escherichia coli
Lineage: Bacteria; Pseudomonadati; Pseudomonadota; Gammaproteobacteria; Enterobacterales; Enterobacteriaceae
Description: partial 16S ribosomal RNA
Rfam family: Bacterial small subunit ribosomal RNA
Source: RNAcentral
AAAUUGAAGAGUUUGAUCAUGGCUCAGAUUGAACGCUGGCGGCAGGCCUAACACAUGCAAGUCGAACGGUAACAGGAAGAAGCUUGCUUCUUUGCUGACGAGUGGCGGACGGGUGAGUAAUGUCUGGGAAACUGCCUGAUGGAGGGGGAUAACUACUGGAAACGGUAGCUAAUACCGCAUAACGUCGCAAGACCAAAGAGGGGGAGCUUCGGGCCUCUUGCCAUCGGAUGUGCCCAGAUGGGAUUAGCUAGUAGGUGGGGU